Molecule: ribosomal RNA, 914 nt
Filed under: uncultured crenarchaeote
Lineage: Archaea; Thermoproteati; Thermoproteota
Description: bacterial SSU rRNA
Rfam family: Archaeal small subunit ribosomal RNA
Source: RNAcentral
CGGGGCUACCCAAAGUGCUCCAUAUAGGAGCUGUGGUAGGUGCGUAAUGUUCCCUACUAGAAAGGAGAGGGCAAGGCUGGUGCCAGCCGCCGCGGUAAAACCAGCUCUUCAAGUGGUCGGGAUAAUUAUUGGGCUUAAAGUGUCCGUAGCUGGUAAGGUAAGUUCCUGGUAAAAUUGGGCAGCUUAACUGUCCUUAUGCUAGGAAUACUGCUUUACUAGAGGGCGGGAGAGGUCUGAGGUACUACAGGGGUAGGAGUGAAAUCUUAUAAUCCUUGUAGGACCACCAGUGGCGAAGGCGUCAGACUGGAACGCGCCUGACGGUGAGGGACGAAAGCCAGGGGAGCGAACCGGAUUAGAUACCCGGGUAGUCCUGGCCGUAAACGAUGCACACUAGAUGAUGGUGCGGCCAUGAGCCGUAUCAGUGUCGUAGGGAAACCGUUAAGUGUGCCGCCUGGGAAGUACGGUCGCAAGGCUUAAACUUAAAGGAAUUGGCGGGGGAGCACCACAAGGGGUGAAGCCUGCGGUUCAAUUGGACUCAACGCCGGGCAACUUACCAGGGGAGACAGCAGAAUGAAGGUCAGGUUGACGACCUUACCUAACAAGCUGAGAGGAGGUGCAUGGCCGUCGCCAGUUCGUGCUGUGAGGUAUCCUGUUAAGUCAGGCAACGAACGAGACCCGUGCCUUUAUUUGCCAUCAAGAAGUCACGACUUCGUUGGGAACGAUAAAGGGACUGCCGUCGAUAAGACGGAGGAAGGAGCGGGCAAAGGCAGGUCAGUAUGCCCCGAAACCCCUGGGCUACACGCGGGCUGCAAUGGUGCGAACAAUGGGCUGUGACUCCGACAGGAGAAACCAAUCCCGAAAUCGCAUCUCAGUUGGGAUUGUCAACUGUAACCCGUUGACAUGAACGUGGAAUC